AACCUUUACACUGCACGACAGUGCGAUAGGGGGACUCCGAGUGCGAGGGCAUAGAGCCCUCGCUUUUGUACACCGUAAGGUGGUGUACGAAUAAGAACUGGGCAAGACCGGUGCCAGCCGCCGCGGUAAUACCGGCAGUUCGAGUGAUGGCCGAUUUUAUUGGGCCUAAAGCGUUCGUAGCUGGCCGAUCAAGUCUGUCGGGAAAUCUGCUCGCCUAACGAGCAGGCGUCCGGCGGAAACUGAUCGGCUUGGGACCGGAAGACUCGAGGGGUACGUCCGGGGUAGGAGUGAAAUCCUGUAAUCCUGGACGGACCACCGAUGGCGAAAGCACCUCGAGAGCACGGAUCCGACAGUGAGGAACGAAAGCUGGGGUCUCGAACCGGAUUAGAUACCCGGGUAGUCCCAGCUGUCAACGAUGCCCGCUAGGUAUGGCGCAGGCUACGAGCCUGCGCUGUGCCGUAGGGAAGCCGUGAAGCGAGCCGCCUGGGAAGUACGUCUGCAAGGAUGAAACUUAA
This 515-nucleotide ribosomal RNA is filed under the name uncultured archaeon. Its description in RNAcentral is "bacterial SSU rRNA". It matches the Rfam family "Archaeal small subunit ribosomal RNA", at positions 345 to 859 of the family's 1478-position model. The record is from RNAcentral.